Molecule: long non-coding RNA, 794 nt
Organism: Piliocolobus tephrosceles (Ugandan red Colobus)
Lineage: Eukaryota; Metazoa; Chordata; Mammalia; Primates; Cercopithecidae
Exons: 2
Source: RefSeq, a predicted model, not a curated record
UAUCUGUCAUUACAGAGCAGAAAAUCCUAAGAAAUACACUCUUCCGUGUCAGCAAAAUGAAAACUUUGAGAUCCUCUGGGUGGUCAUCUCACAUCCUCAAAAGGGAUCCUCUCAAAAGUUAUCACAGUAUUUGCAACCAUUAUGGCCCUUAACACCUAGAAGUGGGGACCAAGAAGUUCAAUUCAGAAGAGAUUAAGAACUACACAUAAAAAGCAACCUACAGAUUUUCCAGGAGCUCCAAGGACUCAUCACGAGCAGCCUUUACCGAGUUGCUUUUCUUCCAACCUUGUGGAUUACGAGAGGUGCUGGGCUCAGUGGCUGCUGGCUGCUGGCUGCCAGCUCCUUGGUGCUGGGGGCCCCUAGUCUCAGAGGGGAUUUCACUGCAGCCCAAGAUGACUGCUGGUUCAGCUCCUGCUGGUCCAACAAGCCUGUGUGAGGAAUGUUUCCCCCUUUUUCCAUCUCCUCCAACCUGUAACUCCUACCUCGUCAGAAAGAGAAGGCAGUACAACUCUCCCAAGCCUACCAGUCCUCACCUGCCAUCCUCCCUGUGGCCUUCAGACCCUUAGCUGGAGCUCCUACCCAGGUCACCGCAACCUCCUAACUGCCUAGCCCACCGCUCCAGCUCUGCCCAAGUAAUGCCAAGGUAAUUCCCUCUCUGACCCAUAGCCGUUCCUCUGUCACCUUCAAUGGCUUCUCAUCUACCUACCCUCUGACUCAAGCACUUCCCAAGGUAUGCUUGCAAUGAGUAACUCUUAAACACAGAAUACAGAGCAAAAGAAUCCGGAUGCAUCCAA